ACCAAUUCCGUAGGAGAAAAUAUGUUCCUUAUGAUGUAAUGGCUCGGAUGCUAUAUAAAUUAAUUUAUAGGAAUGUGGUUUAUCCUGAUGAGUGACUUUGGUUCUUUUGGUGUCAUGUGAUCCUGGAAAGGCUUUUAUACAGAU
Spinacia oleracea (spinach) is the source of this 144-nucleotide non-coding RNA. NCBI's taxonomy places the organism in Eukaryota, Viridiplantae, Streptophyta, Magnoliopsida, Caryophyllales, Amaranthaceae. The record is from Rfam.